Long non-coding RNA from Hypanus sabinus (Atlantic stingray), 258 nucleotides. RefSeq lists it as uncharacterized. The record is from RefSeq and is a predicted model, not a curated record. The transcript has 2 exons. Lineage: Eukaryota; Metazoa; Chordata; Chondrichthyes; Myliobatiformes; Dasyatidae.
CGCGGCUGCGCACGCGUUUUGAGGGAGCAUCAUGGCCGAACCUGCAGCGUUGCUAGGAGGGAGCUGAGGCUCCAGGAUCGGCGAAUGAAGCAUUUGGCAGGCGCCCGGAGACAGAGGGUGGAAGGGCAGCCCAUUUCCAGCAUCUGCAUUGUUUUAUUUUUGGAUUGUGAUGUCAGCAAGCCGGGGAGACAGUGGAAGAUGAUUCCAUGUUAUGAUGUCAUUAUGGCUUCCAGAUGUAAAUAAAGAUUGUCAAUUCUG